UACGUAGGGGGCAAGCGUUGUCCGGAAUUAUUGGGCGUAAAGAGCGCGUAGGCGGUCCGAUAAGUCGGCUGUGAAAGUCAAGGGCUCAACCCUUGAAAGCCGGCCGAUACUGUCGGACUAGAGUCCGGAAGAGGCAAGUGGAAUUCCCGGUGUAGCGGUGAAAUGCGCAGAUAUCGGGAGGAACACCUGUGGUGUAGACAGCUUACUGGACCACUUCUGACGCUGAGACACGAAAGCGUGGGUAGCAAACAGG
This 253-nucleotide ribosomal RNA is filed under the name uncultured bacterium. RNAcentral describes it as "partial 16S ribosomal RNA". It matches the Rfam family "Bacterial small subunit ribosomal RNA", at positions 524 to 776 of the family's 1533-position model. The record is from RNAcentral.